Molecule: ribosomal RNA, 216 nt
Filed under: Glomeromycotina sp.
Lineage: Eukaryota; Fungi; Glomeromycota
Description: partial small subunit ribosomal RNA
Rfam family: Eukaryotic small subunit ribosomal RNA (bases 40-216)
Source: RNAcentral
GGGUCAGUAGGUUGGUCGUGCCACCGGUACGUACUGGUCUCACUGAUUCCUCCUUCCUGAAGAACCGUAGUGCCAUUAAUUUGGUGUUGCGGGGAAACAGGACUGUUACUUUGAAAAAAUUAGAGUGUUUAAGGCAAGCUAACGCUUGAAUACAUUAGCAUGGAAUAAUGAAAUAGGACGAUCGAUCCUAUUUUGUUGGUUUCUAGGAUUGACGUA